AACACUAACACCUGGUCCCAGUCCUCCAAAUCCGUCUCCACCAUAACCCCUGUCUCGAACAGAACAAACACACAUUCAAACUUUAAAAACUUUGGGUCCACACAUUCGUCAUAUUCAGAAAAAACCUCCCACCCUUCCAAGGUGUAGAGAACGGUAGGUUAUACGAAGUCAAUGUCUACGUCCAGACUCUCCGGAAUCGACUAUAAACUAAGGUAGGGCUUCCGGUAACUGUAUUGUGGCGUGUUUGGUGCAAAGUCUGUUUCACCCCAAAAGUAUAACCUGUAGACGGUAUUCUAGAAGUUUCUAAAACCACAUAAGGACCUGACAAACUGGUACGACGAAUUGUAAUAACUUAAAGAGACAAUUUAGUAUUCUUGGUCUACGACUCUUAGACACAUGUUAGACGAGAGGUUUAAGUCAGGUUCACGAGGACGGUAAACCUUCUUGAACAACGAAACGGAUUAGGUUGGGUGACCUAGUCACGGUAGUUUAAAACCCUUCAGGUAAGAUCCAGGGAAGCAGUAACUAAAGUACUUGACACGAAAGUAAAGGACUCCAAGACAUUAUUGGAACGGUGUUGACUGAGAGUGCCAACAAUUAUACAACCAAUUUGUGUCCUCACACCUGUACGGACCUUCAUGGACGUCUUCCUCAACCUGGAAGACAGUGAACUAGAACUAGAGAGACGAACAGCUUUGGUCCUCCGAACCACUGUAAAUUACCCCCAUCGGAGACGUAUUUGUGGAGGAGUGUUGCAGACCAAACAAGAAAAAGAAAAAGGUCAACACGAGCUUCGUUUCGUAAUGCUAAGAGAACAAGGUCGUUCCAUCCUCUAAAAUGACCACGUGAUCACGGACAUAGUCAACAAAAGAGAGACAAAGACGGUCCACCUAGACCAGAUUCACUAAAGUUCUGAAGUCAGUAGCGACUAUUGACAUUAGGAUAGAGACUUUGUCUAAAAACUUGUAGGAGGUGACGAUGACUGUACUCUAGAACGAAGACGGGUUACCAUGCAUGGAGUCAAACCUCAUGACAGUACAGUCUAGCUUCCCUAAGUCAGAGGAAGACUAACAGUUCCUGGAGCCUAGAGUAUCGAUCCUCUAGGACUUAUAGUCUAAGAAGGUACCACGGGAACGACGCUGGGUAGCACUUCCUUUGACCCGUCUCUAAACGAACCAACAAUGGAUUGUCUCUACGGCGACCUUUCACUCAGCUCCUUGACGCGGCGGCGGUUUUGCCACAUGUCUAGCCUUAGCGCCACCCUAAAAUGUGGACUUCUUUUCAAGGGGCCGUUGGGGCGCUUGGUCAGCUAGAUGUGGGCUUAUAAACCGGCAGCGGAGGCGGUGCGAGCGGCGGCUAGACUCUGGCGGCGGCGGCACUCUUCCCUCCCUCUCCACCCUAAAAUGCUCUCUAGAGUUGGUGAAGGCGGCGGUGCUGGGCUUAGCGGAGGCUCCUUUUAAAGACCGAGACUUAUGGUGAUACAGUCCUGGGCUGUGACCUAGAUACCUGAUCUCUUGUACAUACAUACUAAAUCUGUUCCUUAAACCCUCCUUUAACGGUUUAGUUCUCCCGGGCAUAAAUAAUUCGAUCCCAACAACAUACACACAAGAUCGGUAGUCCGUCUUACCCCUUAGUUUUUUGUACAAGCGAGUCGGUGUCGGGCCGACAAUAUAUCCGAGUGAACGGCUUCACUGAUUCAUUGACUCAAUUGACAUUCAUUUCUUCUAGAGCCGGCAGCUC
This 1740-nucleotide ribosomal RNA is filed under the name Triticum aestivum (bread wheat). Its description in RNAcentral is "partial small subunit ribosomal RNA". The record is from RNAcentral. Lineage: Eukaryota; Viridiplantae; Streptophyta; Magnoliopsida; Poales; Poaceae.